CGGGCGGGGAUUAGUGGCGAACGGGUGAGUAACACGUGGGCAAUCUGCCCUGCACUCUGGGACAAGCCCUGGAAACGGGGUCUAAUACCGGAUACAACCACUUCGGGCAUCCGAUGGUGGUGGAAAGCUCCGGCGGUGCAGGAUGAGCCCGCGGCCUAUCAGCUUGUUGGUGAGGUAACGGCUCACCAAGGCGACGACGGGUAGCCGGCCUGAGAGGGCGACCGGCCACACUGGGACUGAGACACGGCCCAGACUCCUACGGGAGGCAGCAGUGGGGAAUAUUGCACAAUGGGCGCAAGCCUGAUGCAGCGACGCCGCGUGAGGGAUGACGGCCUUCGGGUUGUAAACCUCUUUCAGCAGGGAAGAAGCGCAAGUGACGGUACCUGCAGAAGAAGCGCCGGCUAACUACGUGCCAGCAGCCGCGGUAAUACGUAGGGCGCGAGCGUUGUCCGGAAUUAUUGGGCGUAAAGAGCUCGUAGGCGGCUUGUCGCGUCGGUUGUGAAAGCCCGGGGCUUAACCCCGGGUCUGCAGUCGAUACGGGCAGGCUAGAGUUCGGUAGGGGAGAUCGGAAUUCCUGGUGUAGCGGUGAAAUGCGCAGAUAUCAGGAGGAACACCGGUGGCGAAGGCGGAUCUCUGGGCCGAUACUGACGCUGAGGAGCGAAAGCGUGGGGAGCGAACAGGAUUAGAUACCCUGGUAGUCCACGCCGUAAACGGUGGGCACUAGGUGUGGGCGACAUUCCACGUCGUCCGUGCCGCANCUAACGCAUUAAGUGCCCCGCCUGGGGAGUACGGCCGCAAGGCUAAAACUCANAGGAAUUGACGGGGGCCCGCACAAGCGGCGGAGCAUGUGGCUUAAUUCNACGCAACGCGAAGAACCUUACCAAGGCUUGACAUACACCGGAAAACCCUG
RNAcentral lists this ribosomal RNA (910 nucleotides) under Streptomyces fimbriatus. RNAcentral describes it as "bacterial SSU rRNA". It matches the Rfam family "Bacterial small subunit ribosomal RNA", at positions 81 to 1003 of the family's 1533-position model. Lineage: Bacteria; Bacillati; Actinomycetota; Actinomycetes; Kitasatosporales; Streptomycetaceae. The record is from RNAcentral.